GCACACGAAAGCACGGGACAGCGGUUUUUCUCAGGCUGGCGGCAGCCCAAGACAUCAUCUGCUUCGACAAGGGGCUGAGAGGUGCAAAGAGGAGCAGCCAGAAUCAGCCUGUCUAGUCCGGCCCCGGGACAACCCGGUCUGGGCGUUCAGAUCGCUGCGACAAAUCUCCAGAAACUCAGAGGCUCGGCUCCUCCUGACGCCGAACCGCCUUGAGUGACCGCGAAGGAGCCGGGCGCGGGGACCCUAUAUGGUGCAGAACACUUCCUUUGCCUGGUCCGUCGCAAAACUACGUUCCGGGAUCCUGCAAAGUCGGUUCCGCUGCCUCGCGGUACUCGUUCCAACCCCACCCCUGCCAGGAGUGACGCAACCCUUCAUCGCUCCCGGUUGCUUGGAAACGACAGGUUUCCUUCCAGGAGAGAUUCGGAAGAGGACAUCAAGAAAGCCUGGAACUGGAGUUAUACAUGGUUGUGAGCCGUCUCGUGGGGAAUCGAAAUUGAACCUGGGUCCUCUGGAAGGGGAACCAAUAUCCUUAACUGAUGAGCUAUUUCUCCAGUUCCUUCCAUUGGUUCUCUUGGCAGAGAAAACAAGAGAAAAAGGACACUAUGGAAAAAUAAAGAAAAAACAAUGUAGCA
RNAcentral lists this long non-coding RNA (632 nucleotides) under Mus pahari (shrew mouse). RNAcentral describes it as "lncRNA (MGP_PahariEiJ_G0002638.1)". Lineage: Eukaryota; Metazoa; Chordata; Mammalia; Rodentia; Muridae. The record is from RNAcentral.